This 217-nucleotide ribosomal RNA is filed under the name uncultured soil bacterium. RNAcentral describes it as "partial 16S ribosomal RNA". It matches the Rfam family "Bacterial small subunit ribosomal RNA", at positions 26 to 243 of the family's 1533-position model. The record is from RNAcentral.
AGAUUGAACGCUGGCGGCAUGCCUUACACAUGCAAGUCGAACGGCAGCACGGGGGCAACCCUGGUGGCGAGUGGCGAACGGGUGAGUAACAUAUCGGAACGUGCCCUGGAGUGGGGGAUAACUAGUCGAAAGACUAGCUAAUACCGCAUACGAUCUACGGAUGAAAGUGGGGGAUCGCAAGACCUCAUGCUACGUGGAGCCGGCCGAUAUCUGAUUA